RNAcentral lists this long non-coding RNA (563 nucleotides) under Nicotiana benthamiana. RNAcentral's name for it is "long non-coding RNA (NBEN_LNC003840)". Lineage: Eukaryota; Viridiplantae; Streptophyta; Magnoliopsida; Solanales; Solanaceae. The record is from RNAcentral.
AUGAAAUCUAAGAAAGCUGGUAGCUCGAGCGAGGAGCGGAGCCUAGCCCUAUAGCUAUAGGCUAUAUAAUAUUCUAUUUCCUCCGCUUUGAAUAGUUAGAAUCAAACUCAUUGCUCAUUCAUUAAGAGCUCUUGUCGGUAAAGUAGAUCUAGAUCGAGAGAGAGAAUUGGCUUCUCGAGAAUCCGCUGGAGUCAGAUCAGUAGGGGAGUUCACACCGGGACUUUCUUAAUAGAGAAAGAACCCAUACCCUGAACCGGGGAAAGGCGAUAACGACCCAGGAAAUGGUGAAGUACGUGAAUCGACUCCCUCUUCGAGUCCAGACCUUUUAACAUAAAAUAAAGAAUAAGGGACUGACUUCUUUCUUGACAAGGAUCCUGAAUAAAUCGCACAUGCUCCAAGGACUUCACGGAAUUAGGAGGCACACAGGUGGGUAUACCAAGAGAAAUGCGGGUAAGCGACGAGGGAAAUUGCCUCAACAAAACAAGUUUUUAUUUCCAGAAAGAUCCCCACGCUGAGGGAUGAACCUCGCCAAAUGAUCUUAUGGAUCACCCAUCCCAUCUUUU